Molecule: ribosomal RNA, 253 nt
Filed under: uncultured bacterium
Lineage: Bacteria
Description: partial 16S ribosomal RNA
Rfam family: Bacterial small subunit ribosomal RNA
Source: RNAcentral
UACAGAGGCCCCAAGCGUUACUGAGAAUCACUGGGUUUAAAGGGUGCGUAGGUGGUCCGUUAAGUUCGUUGUGAAAGCCCUGGGCUCAACCCAGGAACUGCGUCCGAUACUGGAAGGCUUGAAUCCGGGAGAGGGAUGCGGAAUUCCAGGUGUAGCGGUGAAAUGCGUAGAUAUCUGGAGGAACACCGGUGGCGAAGGCGGCAUCCUGGACCGGUAUUGACGCUGAGGCGCGAAAGCCAGGGGAGCAAACGGG